Small nucleolar RNA from Quercus robur (English oak), 84 nucleotides. RefSeq annotates it as small nucleolar RNA Z159/U59. The record is from RefSeq and is a predicted model, not a curated record. The transcript has a single exon. Lineage: Eukaryota; Viridiplantae; Streptophyta; Magnoliopsida; Fagales; Fagaceae.
GCCUCUGAUGAUGAAUAAACAAUUACUUUCGUUCUUCCGAGAUUUUAUAUGCGGAAAAAAUUUGGAGACCUGAACUGAAGAGGC